UAUCAAUAUACUGUGGAGAUGGAAAAUAAUAACAAAGAAAUGAAAACCCUGUUACAGUGGAAAACUGUAUCAAAUAUCUGAUAUCUGGUAUCAAUUGUUGUGUCAAAGUAACUUUUCGUAUUGGAUAAUAUAUAAAUAGCUCUUCAAGUGCUUUGAGUUUGGGGCUUUUUCAGACUAUGGUGGAUCAAGCUAUAAUUUUCGCCAGUGACAUUGUUAACAGGUAUUGUACACGUACAUAUACAAAGUUUUGAUUUUGUUCAUCCUUGUAUUUCUGCACAUUUGAUUAAUGAAAUGAAUUAAGUUUUUUGAUUAAAAAAAAAAUUCAAUUAGUAGUACUGUAUAAUAGUUUUCUAACUUCAUGUCACUUGUAGUGGCAGGUUCUUC
RNAcentral lists this long non-coding RNA (384 nucleotides) under Medicago truncatula (barrel medic). Its description in RNAcentral is "long non-coding RNA (MTRU_LNC001150)". Lineage: Eukaryota; Viridiplantae; Streptophyta; Magnoliopsida; Fabales; Fabaceae. The record is from RNAcentral.